UGAGAAGCGUAGCCACACACCGUUGGAAACGCUUCAUAGAGUAACUGUGUGGUUUGGCUUUCUUCACAGGACUAUUUGUUAGAUCUGUGUGAAGGAACUACAAGACAGUU
This is a small nucleolar RNA of Prolemur simus (greater bamboo lemur), 110 nucleotides long. The record is from Ensembl. Lineage: Eukaryota; Metazoa; Chordata; Mammalia; Primates; Lemuridae.